UUCGGGGGGGGCAAGCGUUGUUCGGAAUUACUGGGCGUAAAGGGCUCGUAGGUGGCCAACUAAGUCAGACGUGAAAUCCCUCAGCUUAACUGGGGAACUGCGUCUGAUACUGGAUGGCUUGAGUUUGGGAGAGGGAUGCGGAAUUCCAGGUGUAGCGGUGAAAUGCGUAGAUAUCUGGAGGAACACCGGUGGCGAAGGCGGCAUCCUGGACCAAUACUGACACUGAGGAGCGAAAGCGUGGGGAGCGAACAGG
This 253-nucleotide ribosomal RNA is filed under the name uncultured bacterium. RNAcentral's name for it is "partial 16S ribosomal RNA". It matches the Rfam family "Bacterial small subunit ribosomal RNA", at positions 524 to 776 of the family's 1533-position model. The record is from RNAcentral.